CCGGUUGAAGCAGAUGGUCACCCACCCAGAGCCUGGUUCUUCUCGAGGUUUCUGCCUCCUAAAAGGAAGUUUUUCCUCGGCACUGUCGCCAAGUGCUUGCUCAUGAGGGAAUUGUAGAUGAAGAGAAAUGGUACAAGAAAUGGGGUGUCAAUAUUUCAGAGUCAACCAAUUUUAACCUAGAUAGAGUAUUCACAACUCUAUGGUGAGUAAACCCACUCUAAGAGUUGAGUUAAAAGUCAGUGUAAAGUUUUGCAGAGUGAUGAUUACGCUUCUGUCUGUGUAACAUUGUGACUGCUGAGCCAUCACAUGCAGCGGGAGUUGACUGGACUGGUGCCACAGUCAGGCCAGUAACUUUAAUAUUCCCGUGUCCACAACACCGUUUAAUUAUUGUUUUUCGACUAAACGCGGUUUUAUAAUUUCAUAGAUAUAGUUUUCAUAGACGCUCUGUUGAAUGACACUGUCACUGCCACAAGGACUGCUGGAGUAUAAUGUCCGUUUACAGCGGGCAGUGAGCCGCUGUCGCCGAAGUUAAGUCUCUUCUCGUGCUACGAUUUUCAUAAUUGAGCUAACUGUGGCAGUGAGCUCUCAAAUUAGCAGUUUAUCUGAUAUCCCCCUGUUAACUUUGUGGGAAACUUAAGAUGAAGGUUAUGGAACAAUAUAAGCACAUUAAUAGGCUUAAUGACCUAACAUUCGAUGCCUUCAUGAAAGAAGGUUAGUGAGUACAUCAGGAUAGAACAAUAUCACAACUUUUUACUUGGUUGAUACACCUAAUUCAUCAUAAAACCAUUCCUUCUGAAUGAUCUGAGUUGGUCAUUGCUUCUGCUAUGCCUUAAAAUGGAUGGGAAUGACCUAUUGACUUAAGUUUCAACACAAUUAUUAUGAUUUCUGUAAUACCCUUUUUCUUCCUUUACUUCAGCGCGCCUAAAAUUUAACAUUCCAGAAAGCAGGCAGCCAGAUAUGAAGGUGCUGGACCAAUCUGAGACAGAAAUUGACAGAGGUCUUUGAAGAAAAGUGAAGGAGUCAUCAGGAACCCUCCAGUCAUGUUGAUCAACAAAGAACUUGAUGCUUCUCUAUCAUCAUCAUCAUCAUCAUGCUGAGCAUCAUCUGAAGAAACUAUUAUUCUGAACUUCACGAUGUGUGACCCUCCUGAUGAAGCAGCUGCUGCUGAAGGAAGUGAACCUAAAAGGCUGUGCCACAUAAAGAACGAGGCAAAAGCGGUGGCGGGCCAGGCCAUGGUCAACCUAGACCCCUUACCGCUGACGGAGUGUUAUCUGAUGAGGAGGUGGAAGCAGCUAUUGCUGUUGUGACACACACAAGAGAACAGCAGAUGUGUUCACAGUCUUCCCGAGAUUUCUAGACACACCGGGACUGAACAAGACUUCAGACUGCUGUUUGGGGAAGCCACAGCCAACAAAUUCUUGGAGAAGUGGCCCACCAGUCUCAAGACAAAAGUGAUAACAGAAAGCCGAGGACUGGUACCUACCACAGAGCUGCUGGAUUUCAGGCGCAACGCUGAGUCAACUGCUGUGGUUGAGAAUGGUGGGACAGCGACAUGUCUGCCAUCUUGCUGCAUCUCCUGCCACCAUCCGCACAGGGAAGGAAGAGGCCAGGGAAGAUGUCAGCACGUCAGGCUGUGGAGCACCUCAUCAGAUCAGAUACAUACAUCAGAAAGCUGGGACCAGUGUACAACAGCACCUUGAUAACGUCAGUCAAAGCAGCCAACCCUACCUCCUCGCUCAGGGGCCUGCAAGAAGCAGCAUUCACACCUUCUUUCCUGUGAAUUGAUAAGUAUGCAUUUCCAUGUAAGGCAGCAGGUUUCCAAAUGAGAUUGUUUGUCUGUAUGAGUUUGUUAAUGGCAGUUUGUGCUCAUAUGUAGUGAGUCCGUACUAUUUCAUCAAACUAUCAAAUUCAGUAUGUAUACAUCUGUCAUAUGUUACCACCCCUCAAAAAUGCCUGCCCCAUUCUUGACACCCAUAAAUAUUUUUCUAGAUUCGCCCCUGCAUUUAGACAUAUUCACUUAUAUUUACAUUAUUAGGAAAACGUCACAGGCACUAGCAAAUAAGUAUGUAGCACUUUUAUUCAUGCACAUGAAAAUGAAUUACUUCAUUCUUGGCUGGAUGCCUCUUCCCGGUAAACAGGUGGUCAUUUUCUCACCUGAACUUUAUCAGCCUUUCCCUGUUCAUUGAGACAUAUUUCAGAGGUGUCGGUAAAGGGAAACCUACAAGCCACGAAACACAUGAUUUCACUCAGAUAGCAUGCAGAGCAUGUGACGAGAGGCCGAUGUGCUUGCUUUAUAUAUCAGUGACAGUUCUGUAAACGUGACGUGGAAGCGUGAAGGCUUGUAAUCAUAACGUCACAGUUUCCUCCACCUGAAGUUUGAUAAAUAACAGAGUGCUGUAGUCUAGGUAAUAAGCUAUGUUACACAUUGGGAUGUGGAUGAAAUAAAUUUAACUGAAACAUACAUGUCUUGUACUGUUGCUCUUUGGAGAAUGUAACGUUAAGUUAGGCACCUCUGAAUGACAGCCGUUGACAGGAAGGAUUGAGGAACGAGGAAACGACAAGAGAAUUGUGAUGCACCCCUGGAUGAAUGAGAAUCUUCACGGACAGCCUGCUUGAAGAUGAUUAACAGCUGGUUGAAAAGCAGCUCUCUCCAUCAGGGAAUCGCACCCCAGCCUUCCGUGUGGCAAACGGAGACACUGUCCACUAUACUAACAAGAACAAUUUCUUCACGGAUAAUUCAUAAACUG
Molecule: long non-coding RNA, 2747 nt
Organism: Chelmon rostratus (copperband butterflyfish)
Lineage: Eukaryota; Metazoa; Chordata; Actinopteri; Chaetodontiformes; Chaetodontidae
Exons: 6
Source: RefSeq, a predicted model, not a curated record